RNAcentral lists this ribosomal RNA (250 nucleotides) under uncultured bacterium. RNAcentral's name for it is "partial 16S ribosomal RNA". It matches the Rfam family "Bacterial small subunit ribosomal RNA", at positions 515 to 764 of the family's 1533-position model. The record is from RNAcentral.
CCGCGGUAAUACGUAGGGUGCGAGCGUUAAUCGGAAUUACUGGGCGUAAAGCGUGCGCAGGCGGUUAUGUAAGACAGAUGUGAAAUCCCCGGGCUCAACCUGGGAACUGCGUUUGUGACUGCAUAACUAGAGUACGGCAGAGGGAGGUGGAAUUCCGCGUGUAGCAGUGAAAUGCGUAGAUAUGCGGAGGAACACCGAUGGCGAAGGCAGCCUCCUGGGCCAGUACUGACGCUCAUGCACGAAAGCGUGG